Molecule: ribosomal RNA, 395 nt
Filed under: Anaplasma phagocytophilum
Lineage: Bacteria; Pseudomonadati; Pseudomonadota; Alphaproteobacteria; Rickettsiales; Anaplasmataceae
Description: bacterial SSU rRNA
Rfam family: Bacterial small subunit ribosomal RNA
Source: RNAcentral
GUCGAACGGAUUAUUCUUUAUAGCUUGCUAUAGAGAUAAUUAGUGGCAGACGGGUGAGUAAUGCAUAGGAAUCUACCUAGUAGUAUAGGAUAGCCACUAGAAAUGGUGGGUAAUACUGUAUAAUCCCUGCGGGGGAAAGAUUUAUCGCUACAUGAUGAGCCUAUGUUAGAUAAGCUAGUUGGUAGGGUAAAGGCCUACCAAGGCGAUGAUCUAUAGCUGGUCUGAGAGGAUGAUCAGCCACACUGGAACUGAGAUACGGUCCAGACUCCUACGGGAGGCAGCAGUGGGGAAUAUUGGACAAUGGGCGCAAGCCUGAUCCAGCUAUGCCGCGUGAGUGAGGAAGGCCUUAGGGUUGUAAAACUCUUUCAGUAGGGAAGAUAAUGACGGUACCUAUA